RNAcentral lists this ribosomal RNA (229 nucleotides) under uncultured bacterium. RNAcentral describes it as "partial 16S ribosomal RNA". It matches the Rfam family "Bacterial small subunit ribosomal RNA", at positions 15 to 231 of the family's 1533-position model. The record is from RNAcentral.
GAUCCUGGCUCAGGAUGAACGCUAGCUACAGGCUUAACACAUGCAAGUCGGAGGGGCAGCAUGGUCUUAGCUUGCUAAGGCUGAUGGCGACCGGCGCACGGGUGAGUAACACGUAUCCAACCUGCCGUCUACUCUUGGCCAGCCUUCUGAAAGGAAGAUUAAUCCAGGAUGGCAUCAUGAGUUCACAUGUCCGCAUGAUUAAAGGGUAUUUUCCGGUAGACGAUGGGGG